UAGGGAAUCUUCCGCAAUGGACGCAAGUCUGACGGAGCAACGCCGCGUGAGUGAAGAAGGAUUUCGGUUCGUAAAACUCUGUUGUUAGAGAAGAACAGCGCAUAGAGUAACUGUUAUGCGUGUGACGGUAUCUAACCAGAAAGCCACGGCUAACUACGUGCCAGCAGCCGCGGUAAUACGUAGGUGGCAAGCGUUGUCCGGAUUUAUUGGGCGUAAAGCGAGCGCAGGCGGUUAGAUAAGUCUGAAGUUAAAGGCAGUGGCUCAACCAUUGUAGGCUUUGGAAACUGUUUAACUUGAGUGCCGAAGGGGAGAGUGGAAUUCAAUGUGUAGCGGUGACAUGCGUAGGUAUAUGGAGGAACACCGGUGGCGAAAGCGGCUCUCUGGUCUGUAACUGACGCUGAGGCUCGAAAGCGUGGGGAGCGAACAGG
Molecule: ribosomal RNA, 428 nt
Filed under: Bacteroidota bacterium
Lineage: Bacteria; Pseudomonadati; Bacteroidota
Description: Bacteroidetes bacterium partial 16S ribosomal RNA
Rfam family: Bacterial small subunit ribosomal RNA
Source: RNAcentral